CAGUAGCCGCGGGAAUACGAAGGGGGCUAGCGUUGCUCGGAAUGACUGGGCGUAAAGGGCGUGUAGGCGGUUUUGACAGUCAGAUGUGAAAUUCCUGGGCUUAACCUGGGGGCUGCAUUUGAGACGUUAAGACUAGAGUGUGAGAGAGGGUUGUGGAAUCCCCAGUGUAGAGGUGAAAUUCGUAGACAUUGGGAAGAACACCGGUGGCGAAGGCGGCAACCUGGCUCAUUACUGACGCUGAGGCGCGAAAGCGUGGGGAGCAAACAGGAUUAGAUACCCCCGUAGUCCCUGUCUCUUAUAC
RNAcentral lists this ribosomal RNA (301 nucleotides) under uncultured bacterium. Its description in RNAcentral is "partial 16S ribosomal RNA". It matches the Rfam family "Bacterial small subunit ribosomal RNA", at positions 509 to 807 of the family's 1533-position model. The record is from RNAcentral.